UACGUAGGGUGCGAGCGUUAAUCGGAUUUACUGGGCGUAAAGCGUGCGCAGGCGGCCCGUUAAGACAGGUGUGAAAUCCCUGGGCUCAACCUAGGAAUUGCGCUUGUGACUGGCGGGCUCGAGUACGGUAGAGGGGGGUGGAAUUCCUGGUGUAGCAGUGAAAUGCGUAGAGAUCAGGAGGAACACCGAUGGCGAAGGCAGCCCCCUGGGCCUGUACUGACGCUCAUGCACAAAAGCGUGGGGAGCAAACAGG
Molecule: ribosomal RNA, 253 nt
Filed under: uncultured microorganism
Description: partial 16S ribosomal RNA
Rfam family: Bacterial small subunit ribosomal RNA
Source: RNAcentral